UGGCGGACGGGUGAGUAACGCGUAGGGAUUUAUCGUUGGGUGGGGGAUAACCUUGGGAAACUGGGGCUAAUACCGCAUGACGCCUGUGGGCCAAAGUUCGCGAGGGCGCCUGAUGAGGAACCUGCGUUCGAUUAGCUAGUUGGUGGGGUAAAGGCCUACCAAGGCGACGAUCGAUAGCUGGUCUGAGAGGAUGAUCAGCCACACUGGGACUGAGACACGGCCCAG
Molecule: ribosomal RNA, 225 nt
Filed under: uncultured bacterium
Lineage: Bacteria
Description: partial 16S ribosomal RNA
Rfam family: Bacterial small subunit ribosomal RNA
Source: RNAcentral